Molecule: small nuclear RNA, 103 nt
Organism: Otolemur garnettii (small-eared galago)
Lineage: Eukaryota; Metazoa; Chordata; Mammalia; Primates; Galagidae
Source: Ensembl
GUGCUCACUUCUACAGCCCCUAUGCCGAAAUUGGAACAAUGCAGAGAUUAGCAUGCCCCCUGUGCAAGAUGACAAGCAAAUCUGUGAAGAGUUACAUUAAAGA